This 497-nucleotide ribosomal RNA is filed under the name uncultured bacterium. RNAcentral describes it as "partial 16S ribosomal RNA". It matches the Rfam family "Bacterial small subunit ribosomal RNA", at positions 28 to 507 of the family's 1533-position model. The record is from RNAcentral.
GAUGAACGCUGGCGGCGUGCCUAAUACAUGCAAGUCGAGCGAACGGACGAGAAGCUUGCUUUUCUGAUGUUAGCGGCGGACGGGUGAGUAACACGUGGAUAACCUACCUAUAAGACUGGGAUAACUUCGGGAAACCGGAGCUAAUACCGGAUAAUAUUUUGAACCGCAUGGUUCAAAAGUGAAAGACGGUCUUGCUGUCACUUAUAGAUGGAUCCGCGCUGCAUUAGCUAGUUGGUAAGGUAACGGCUUACCAAGGCAACGAUGCAUAGCCGACCUGAGAGGGUGAUCGGCCACACUGGAACUGAGACACGGUCCAGACUCCUACGGGAGGCAGCAGUAGGGAAUCUUCCGCAAAGGGCGAAAGCCUGACGGAGCAACGCCGCGUGAGUGAUGAAGGUCUUCGGAUCGUAAAACUCUGUUAUUAGGGAUGAACAUAUGUGUAAGUAACUGUGCACAUCUUGACGGUACCUAAUCAGAAAGCCACGGCUAACUACGUG